UCUACCAAAAAGAAAAGGGGCAAAAAACUGCGCAUAGCAGGAGGAUUAAGAACCAAAAAAUAUAGAUCCCUCCCCCAUCGAGCUUCUUCUUCUUGAACGAGAGAGAAGAGAGCCACUGCUCAUCUGCUUCUUCUUCAAGACCGAUUAUCGCAACAGGCCACUUUAAGCUUGCCGGAGAAGACUCGCCGUCGACCCCACCCCCUCGUCUUCGUCUUCUUCACGAGGACCUAAGCUAGGCGCUGAUUUUCAUACAAGACCCUCCCUCAGCGAAUUUGAUCUCCUUCCUCAGCCAAAAUGAUAGAACUCCCCAUGGCUGUUUCUUCUUCUUCGAUGAAACAAAACUACAGCCAUCAACGACCACCUAGAUCCGGCUGAACUCCAGUCAUCUUCCUCACCAUAAAAUCCAGCUGAAGACCCCUUGAACCCCUUUUGUCUGUUUUCGAGCUCGUCGCCGAUCGAGAUUGUUCGACGUCGAUUCUGAUUCGAGCCCUGCUGCUACUCGAGGUUAGAGUUCGAGUUUCCGCUCAAGGUCGUCGAGGUCCGGACUAUUGAGCUCAUCAAUCACAGCUUUGGCUUGGAGUUUUAUUUUUCUACCCGUUGUUUCAAAAACACAUUGCAGUUAUAAAGUUAGGUGCUACCCAGGGCAACUCAAACAAGGCCUCCAGAACGGAGCGAAGCAAAGCCAGCAAACGAAGGCACGAACCAACCUCCCCUUACAAAACUUAAAAUUUUUCUUUGGAUGCAGUCAUGGUGAACAUAACAGAAGCAUUCGCAAACAUACACAUACCAAAGUCCUAACGAUCAGGUAUAUGUUGAUGAUGUUGCCCAUAGUGGUCGAGACGAUA
Molecule: non-coding RNA, 845 nt
Organism: Nicotiana tabacum (common tobacco)
Lineage: Eukaryota; Viridiplantae; Streptophyta; Magnoliopsida; Solanales; Solanaceae
Source: RefSeq, a predicted model, not a curated record